This 439-nucleotide small RNA is filed under the name Histoplasma capsulatum var. duboisii H88. RNAcentral describes it as "Histoplasma capsulatum H88 hypothetical RNA". Lineage: Eukaryota; Fungi; Ascomycota; Eurotiomycetes; Onygenales; Ajellomycetaceae. The record is from RNAcentral.
CUGCUUCAAGAAAGAAAUAUGACUUCUACAGAUAGUACAAAAAUAGGUGCAAAGUGAAAGCAAUCUGUCAGUGCACUUCUAGCAGAUAUUCCACCCCUGAAGAGUAUUAGAUUCAAACCUAUGAGAUCUCUUCAUCACCCUUCAGCUGUCAAUCUGCCCAAUAACAUUGAUCUGUAGUUCGGAUAAUUGUUUUUCCAAAGCAUACGCCACCCCCUAUUAUCAUAUGGGAUAGUGUACACACUAGUUAGAUUUUUAUAAAAGAGCAGCAUAAGCUUAGAAGCUUCCACUGCUCAAGCAACCUUUGAAUCACAUCUAAUAGUAUGUCUAAACUGAAGGGAGCAUACACUUCCAGAGGUGUGAUAAUUUCAUCUACAACACAAAUCAUAGUUAUCAUGUCAGUGUGAUCAUUUCUGCACUUCUAAGCUUGAUGUACUGAGGC